Molecule: long non-coding RNA, 459 nt
Organism: Myodes glareolus (Bank vole)
Lineage: Eukaryota; Metazoa; Chordata; Mammalia; Rodentia; Cricetidae
Source: RefSeq, a predicted model, not a curated record
UUUUAAUUUCAGUCUAUCUGUCUCCUGCCAACUCAAACUACAGUAGAGACAGGUCAGCUCUCAGCCCUAUCACCAAGUAGACCCAGCACAUGAAAAAGAAUUCAGCUUUACUGUGAAAAAAAUUUGUGGAAUAAGAAAACAAGAGCACAUGGAACUGCCUAGGAUUUCCAGGGCUCCGAGCCGGGUGAAGUUGGUGCUUUAGCUCUGCCGGGUCCUGCUGCAGGCAUCAAUCCCCGCCCAUUGCCCCCGGAGCUUCCCUUGUCCUCUUUCACAAAGGUGCCGGGGCAAGGAGCAAAUUCUUCAUCGCACAGCGAAGAAGUCUUCACUUUAACUCCCGCAAACGGGUCUCAUUAUGUACCUCUGGAUGUCCUGGAACUGUGUAGGCCAGGUUGGCCUCAAACUCACAGGGUUAUGCCUCUGUCUUCUGACUGCGGGAAUUAAAGGCCUAUGUCAUUACAC